This 120-nucleotide small RNA is filed under the name Salmonella enterica subsp. enterica. RNAcentral's name for it is "partial RtT sRNA". It matches the Rfam family "RtT RNA". From Rfam's summary of the family: This family represents a bacterial cis-regulatory element known as RtT RNA. The exact function of RtT is unknown although it is thought that it may be involved in changing the cellular response in relation to amino acid starvation. Lineage: Bacteria; Pseudomonadati; Pseudomonadota; Gammaproteobacteria; Enterobacterales; Enterobacteriaceae. RNAcentral also lists the same sequence under 1 other name. The record is from RNAcentral.
AUAUCUCUCUGUACGGGAAGGAUGAGAAGCUUCGACCAAGGUUCGAUUCGAGCGCAGCGAGAAAGCGUUGCCGCAGGCAACGACCCGAAGGGCGAAGCGCGCAGCGCUGAGUCAUCCUUC